UGUCACGGAGAGCAGUGAGAAGAGCGAAGCCCUCUGCUUGAAAAACUGAGCAGUGGGGAGAGAGAGGAAGAGAUAGAAAAAGAGGAGAGAAGGAAGAACCGGGGCAAGGGACGCGGGCAACACCAGAACCAACUCCAGAAGAUGUCUUAGAGCCAUCGGUGUAAUAACUGAUGUCGGGAAGGAAGGAGGGAAGAGGAGUGGGGGAAAGGUCAGGGAUGGCUGGGGGAGAGGGAUAGAUGUAAGGCAGCGGCCUCCUCUCAGCGCGGAAGGGAAGUGACUCGGGUGGACGAAGGAGGGAAGAAAGUAGAAGGACCUUCAUGUCCAAAGGAAGGACCCUAAGAAGGGCGAUAGCUGCAAGGGUUGGAGUGGUGCGGAAGCCCCGGAUGGCAUGGACACAGAACUUUCUUUGUGUGGACCUCAGCUGGCUGCGACCAGCCCUGGUUUUGGCUGCAUCUUCCCAAAUGGAAGCAGCAUAUGUAAUCACUGGUUCGAAAGCCCCAAGGUAAAGCCUCCUACGUGCAUGGAAACCAAAGCCAUAUCUGGCAUUGGAGCAUCUCUUAAGACGGGAGAAGAAGGAUAGAGCCCUCUCACAGACCCUCUGUAAAUGAGGGGAGAAGGACAAGCGAUCAUCGAAAGUGACCCCGAGGAUUUUGAGGCAGUCUGGGCACUCCAGCUCUAAACCAUCAAUCUUCAAAGAGGGAGGGUUGUUGAAGAUAGGGAGGACCCGGGAUUUAUCCGGUGAGAGAAUUAGUUUCCAGUCCAGACACCACUCGGAGAUCAAGUCGAGGGUCCGUUGCGCUGAGGAAACAAUGGAAUUGGGAGGGCCAGAGACAACAAUCUGUAAGUCAUCGGCGAAGGCUUGCACAUGAACACCCGAAGGAAAGGGUAGAGAGAGGACCGAAUUGAAAACAAUGUUCCAGGCAUGUGGUCCACUCUUGGAACCCUGGGCGCAACCACGGGUGGGAAAUGCAGAGCGAGAAUAGCCCCGAUGGGAGAGGGAGACGGACCUAUUGGUAAAGAAAGAUUGAUAGACCGCUUGGAGAAGAGGAGGACAGGAAGCAUCAGCAAGGCAAGCAAAGAAGGCAGGGUGCCAAAGGUGGUCAAAGGCAGACUUAAUGUCAAGACUAAUUAGGAAACACCCUUGAUGUGUCUUGACUGCCGAAGAUAUCCUCGAUUUUAACGAUGAGAGGGCAUCAAUCGAGGAGCGGCACCUUCGGAAGCCAAACUGUAGGGGGUGUAAUAACUUAUUUGACUCAAAAAAGUGAGCAAGCCUAUGAGCAAUUAUGUCCUCAAAGACUUUGCCUAACACCGGUAAAAGGGUGAUAGGACGGUGGCGGGAGGCAAAGUCUUCAGAGGAGGACGCCUUGGGGACCAGGACAAGCCUGCCUGUCUUCCAGAGAGUAGGGAAAAGACCAAGAGAUAGACAGCGGUUAAAGAGAAGUAGGAAGAAGGAGGGAAAGGAAGAAAUAAGCCACUUAGCAAACUGUCCAGGUAACUGGUCAGGGCCAGGUGCCUUCCUGGGAUUAAGGUUGUUAAUUGCCCAAGAGUACUCAAAAGGAGUAAUAGGAGGGUCAGGAGGAGAAGAAUGAGAGGAGGAGCUAGUGUUUAGAGCAAAGUGAAAGGGCCUAGUGUCAGGAGGGGGGUCAGUGAAGAAAGAGUCCAACAUAUCCUGAAGACAGGCAGGGAUGUUAUGGUGAAUUAAAAUAUUCUCAAACCGUCGGGAGCAAAGAGGGUCAGAUUUAGCCGAGCCAUGGGAAAUAUAGCGAUAGAUUGGGCCCCAAGGAUUAUGCUCAAAAGUAUUGCAGAGUUUCCUAAAAUAAUUAGUCUUAGCCCUGUCAAUAGCCUUGUUGAAGCGGUUACGCACUACCACAUAACGUUCUCUCAAGCGGUCACGAAGUGGAGGAAAGAAGUUCUUAUAUUCCCUUCCCAGUCUCCUGGAGAGGGUUUUAAGGGACUGUAGUUUAGGAGACCACCAGGGAUUGGGUGGGGGGAAAGCAGGAAGUGGUCCCUUGGGGGAAAGGUUGGCAGAACAACACAUGUGUAACUGUUCGUAAAAAGUGCCAACAAAGCAAUCGAUGGAAGCGGCAGAGUCACAAUUGUUAAGAGCCACCUGCAGGGCACCUUCAGGAGAAAGGAGAGAUUGAAGAGAAAAGAAAAGCCUAGAAGGUGGGGCAGAUUUAAGAUUAAAAGAGGAAAAGUCAGGAAAGAGAGGAGGGGAAGAAAGAGGAGAAGCGUCAAGAUCCGGGGUGGAAACAGAAAAUGAGAUCUCAAAGUGAUCUGAGAGAUCCCACUCAACCGCAUCCCACCCGGACACAGAAGGGAGGAGACUGGAGGUGAUGCAGGUGACAUCUAUGGAAGAGGAUGAAGAUCCUUGAGCACGGGUAAUGGCUCCAUGACGGUUACACACCGCCAGGUUUAGGGAGUCCAACAUGAAGUUGAGGUGCGUACCUUUGACACGGUGGCGGUUACUCCAGCGGUUGGACUCAGCAUUAAAAUCUCCAGCAAGAAGGAGAUUAGGUGGAGGAGGAGAGCCAAAUAGGGUAGUAAAAGAAUCAGCUGUCCUCGAAGCAUUAGCCGGGCAAGGAAUGUAAACCGAACAGAUGGUGAAGUGGAAGUUCGGUAUGUCAACAACCGCCAGAACACGGUUGACAGUUUGGGGAGGAGUAGAACCGGUAGAACUUGGUUCAGCACCACAAUAGCCGCACUACAUUUGUUGUUAGAAAUGGGGGCAUGCAAGAAAGAGGAAGGUGGAAUAGGGUGGGCAGACGGAAGUCGGUUGUUUGAAACGGGAAGUUCUUGCAGCAGUAGGAUAUCUACGGCUUUAGAAGAAGCUUCCUGGAGAAUGGAAUGGAAACAUGCAAAUGAACGAUUGCAAUUUAACUGCAAAAAAGAUAUUAACAUGUGUGUUGAACCAAGUUAUGGAAACUCUCCUCCACCAUUUGUAAGACCGGACAGGCAAAUGAGUCUGCCCUGUGACCGUUAUGAUCCGGCUUGCAGCGGAAACAACUGGGGCUAGCACCAGUUGUGGGACAGUCCGCAAUCUUGUGGGCAAGCCCACAAUGAAGGCAACGCACCGGGCCAGAACAAGAAUUGGUCCGGUGCCUGAGACUACCGCAGGACCUGCAGGGGAAGGUAGCCCUAGUCCUGUCAAUGGACAGAGAAGAGAAUCCGAAAUAGAUUCUCUUUUUGCCCUUCAGAGCGGUGGCAACGAUGUUGUUGGUCUCAAACACUGCAUGGACCCGACCGUUCCGCGCUGAGAUAGUUCGGAUGAGUCGGCAGUCAGUAUCCUGACAAUCGACCGACCGGACAAACAUGGUGGUGAGAUCCUCCUCAUUGGAAACGUCAGGUACAUUAAAGAUGGUGAAGCGAUGGUGGAAAGAGGGAGGUGUAGAAAUUCUGAUAUUAGUAUUUUUGGUAAGGUCCACCAGUUUACGGUGCAGUUUAGUAAAGUCCUCUUUAGACCUGGUAUGUAUGGUAAUUUUAUCCCUGGAAGUAUUUAUAUGGGACCCAGGAACCCCCAAAGCGGAGAAAGAAGACAAAUUGGAAAGCCUAAGGCUAAGAGGCUGAGCCUCCUUGAGGUCCUGUGUGAUAGUGAGGUGGAACGGGUUAUUGGUCAAAGUAAACCUAGGAGUGGUCUUUGGUUGGGUAGGGACAGGUCCCCGACUAGCCGAGGGGACUGAGCUAGCAGGUGGCACAGAUGGACGGCUUGAGGUCAUGGCAGAGUACGAAAGGGGAGCGGCAGAAGCGGAAGUGUCAACAGGGGUGGCAAGUGUACUUAUGGUAGAGAUACCAGGCUCAGCAAGAGUGGCUGAGGUGGCAUCAACAACAUGUGGGUGGGCAAAAUGCUGCUGUUUUGAUUGGGAAGCCAUCUGUAAUAGGAGUCCAGAGGAAAAAUCCAAUUCGGAGAUACGACGUUCAUAGUCGGCCCUAAGAUGUAGGAGAAUGUCCUUAAGUUCAGAAUGAACUGAGGAACCAAGUUCAGCAGAAAAUUCAGAAAUGGAAUUAGAGAUAGUCUUAAAUGAGAUGGCUGCCCAAUCAAAAAUAUCAAAACAAUUGGUAGAAUUAGUACAUUUAGAAAAGGCCACAAAAUUAGGUGGUGGCUCCAAGGAAAUGGUAGGCACAGGAAAGUCCUCAACGUCAACAAUAGUAUUGGGUUGGUAAGAAUGGGAGGAAGAAAGAGAUUCAGAUUCAGAAGGAGAGGGAGAAAGAGAGCGAGAUGGAGAGGAACUCACAGGUUUUUGGUUAUCCGGGUCCAGGGUAAGGCGCAGAGUUGCGUCGCGCAAAUGAACAGGGGAGUAAGUCAGCUGAGGGUCUUGGCCGGCGGGAAGGGUCUCGGUAGGGCCCGCGGCGCGCGGCGCUCGGGGAGUCUUAGGCCUAGUUGACCGUCCGCUGCGGAGCUUCCGCUCGGUGGACAUCGCCGCGUAGGUAGGGAAGGCGGGCGGGAGCUUGGUAAAAGAGCUGUCUUCACGGCAAAAACUUGAAGAAAGUAAAUUGGCCAACUUAUUGUAUGGUCUUCUAACCUAGCUAAAAUGUCCAGACGCGAUUCUAAAGGUGGAAGACAUAAGGAUCAGUAAGCCAACGAGCCCGCGAAGGUGGAGGGAUGAUCAGUGACAGGUGCUGGGAGAGGCAGGAGGAUGACAUCCAGAAGAUCAGGCAGGGGGUAGGAACCUUAGCCCUAGACCUUAGGAUUGGACAGCUAGAGGCUCUCAUCUGCUUCCUGUUUCUCAGGAAGGCCCUUGGCGCAGCAGUUGGCGCACUUGGAGGUGCGCGGAUUACCCAGGGAGGAGUAGGCACGACCCUCGUGUUCUUCUUCUCCUCAGUGGAAGCACUGAGCCGAGUUGUGGCCAAAGCCACAGCAGAGGAAGCUGACACGGACGGACUCCUCGAAGUUGAGGAUUACUCCAUCAACAACUAUCUUUCCGCGCACACCCAGAGCUCUGAAGGUCUGCAGGUCCACCUCGAUGAAGGCCGUGCAGGUCCCAUUCCUUGCAGCAGAACGGUGAGCCACACGCACCACCUUGUCACCAGGGAGUUGGCUGACGGCAGGAGUUGCCAGGAAGGUCUCUUCAAUGGUGGAGUUGAUGGUUUCUUGGUCCACCCUGAAGAGGCAGAUGCGCGGAAAGAUCUCCUUCUGCUGGCGGACCUUCAUGCCAUUCAGCUUGUUGGCCGGGGAGGAAGUGACAGCAGGGAUGGUGUCAGGGUUGCUGGAGUGGAGCACCAGAUUUCCUUUGGUGCGCAGGCAUGCCCAGACGCCUUGGGGAAAUAUGUGGGCAGCGCGGAUAGCCUUCAGAAUUUCCCGGGGGUCAGCUUGCGGGUUGUCCGAGACAACCACAGUGUGCGCCGCAGAUUUUUCGCCGUGUAGUUUGACCUUAGGCACGUCAGGCUUGGAGACACAGGAGGAUGCAAUCUUGGGCGGGAUAGAUGUGUUGGUUCUCUUGGCUGGCGGGUUUGGCGCUUCAGGCUGCUUCAACUUUGCUGGGGCAGAGGCUGCUUCUUGGGAGCAGGAGCUGCCACAGGGACAGCAGCUGGAGCGGGGAAGGCAGGCUUGAUGGACUCAGUCUGAGCACCUGUAUUCUUGCAGGCGGGAGCAGGGCCAGUUUGGGUGGACUUGUAGGAGGUCUUGGGCUUGUUGGAAUCCAGGAUUUUCUCUAACUCCAGGAUGUCAUCCACGGUGUCAGAGAGACUCUGGAAAUCCGUGAAGAGUCUAUUGAUGAUCCCAGUCCACCUCUCAAUGUACUGGACAAGGUCUAGGGAGGAGUCCUUUGAGGGAAGGCUGGCCGAGGGAGCGUAGGAUCUCGUGGUUGCGGGAAACGAUAAUUUUGUCCUCUUCAACUAGAGCUUCGAUGUCCACCAUGAACUUAGAAGACAUAGCACACUCGCUUCUUCUUAGCAGAUUCCAUGGCCAGGAGAGCAGAGCUGUUUCCGAAGCGAGAGCUGAAACAAACUCAGGACUGUAUUUUAAAAAUCUUAUACGCAAGAAUGGAUCGAUUUUUAAAAUAUAUAAUGACACACUUUUAGGUUCAUUUAUUUUAGAA
This is a non-coding RNA of Cordylochernes scorpioides, 6035 nucleotides long. The record is from the annotation of a GenBank genome assembly. NCBI's taxonomy places the organism in Eukaryota, Metazoa, Arthropoda, Arachnida, Pseudoscorpiones, Chernetidae.